UCAGGUUUCGCGCUGGUCCCGCGCGGCGCUGAGGGACGCUGCGCGCGAGCGGCUCGGCGGGCCGCGAGGUGCCAGGGCCUCGCGCCGCGAUUUAAGGGGCGUCGUGCGAAAAGCGAAGAGGCCCCUCCACCCCCACGGAAACGACAGGGCAGCGCGAGCCCGUGCACCGAGAGCGAGCACCUGGGGCACCGCGCACCUGGCGCCAGCGGCGCGGGCUCGGCCCCACGCGGGGAGGAACCGGCGACCGGGCCGGCGCGCCCCGCGUGGACACGGCGGCACGGGCGCAGGCACCCGGCACGGGGGUCGCACGUGGGUACGGUACAGCUGGAACCUCUGAAACAAGUUUCUGGUUGCCUUUGUGUCUUUGGAAGAAAAUACAAAGAAAAAGCUUUUAAAAACCCCACAAAGGCUAGAGAUGGCUGUUAAAGUAGUUACCAUAAUAUCGUUGAUCAAGCCAGUCUCCUGGAAACGAUAGACAGACGACAACUCCAUAACAAGAAGACCUAAAGUUUUUUGGCAUCUUCAACUGAAAAAAAGCGCAGAAGACUAAUGAGAUUUCUGACAACUUGCCAAAAAGAACCGUAUUUACACAGAGCCUGAGCAUGGAAAA
Molecule: long non-coding RNA, 610 nt
Organism: Tyto alba (common barn owl)
Lineage: Eukaryota; Metazoa; Chordata; Aves; Strigiformes; Tytonidae
Exons: 3
Source: RefSeq, a predicted model, not a curated record